UACGUAGGGUGCAGGCGUUAAUCGGAAUUACUGGGCGUAAAGCGUGCGCAGGCGGUUUCUUAAGUCAGAUGUGAAAGCCCCGGGCUUAACCUGGGAACUGCAUUGGUGACUGGCAGGCUUUGAGUGUGGCAGAGGGAGGUAGAAUUCCACGUGUAGCAGUGAAAUGCGUAGAGAUGUGGAGGAAUACCGAUGGCGUAGGCAGCCUCCUGGGCCAACACUGACGCUCAUGCACGAAAGCGUGGGGAGCAAACAGG
RNAcentral lists this ribosomal RNA (254 nucleotides) under uncultured bacterium. RNAcentral describes it as "partial 16S ribosomal RNA". It matches the Rfam family "Bacterial small subunit ribosomal RNA", at positions 524 to 776 of the family's 1533-position model. The record is from RNAcentral.